UGGGGAAUAUUGCACAAUGGGGGAAACCCCGAUGCAGCGACGCCGCGUGAACGAAGAAGGUAUUCGUAUCGUAAAGUUCUGUCCUAUGGGAAGAUAAUGACAGUACCAUAGAAGAAAGCUCCGGCUAAAUACGUGCCAGCAGCCGCGGUAAUACGUACGGAGCGAGCGUUGUCCGGAAUUAUUGGGCGUAAAGGGUACGCAGGCGGUUUAAUAAGUCGAAUGUUAAAGAUCGGGGCUCAACCCCGCAAAGCAUUGGAAACUGAUAAACUUGAGUAGUGGAGAGGAAAGUGGAAUUCCUAGUGUAGUGGUGAAAUACGUAGAUAUUAGGAGGAAUACCAGUAGCGAAGGCGACUUUCUGGACACAAACUGACGCUGAGGUACGAAAGCGUGGGGAGCAAACAGG
RNAcentral lists this ribosomal RNA (403 nucleotides) under bacterium. RNAcentral describes it as "partial 16S ribosomal RNA". It matches the Rfam family "Bacterial small subunit ribosomal RNA", at positions 355 to 776 of the family's 1533-position model. The record is from RNAcentral.